Molecule: ribosomal RNA, 520 nt
Filed under: uncultured Glomus
Lineage: Eukaryota; Fungi; Glomeromycota; Glomeromycetes; Glomerales; Glomeraceae
Description: SSU rRNA
Rfam family: Eukaryotic small subunit ribosomal RNA
Source: RNAcentral
AGCAGCCGCGGUAAUUCCAGCUCCAAUAGCGUAUAUUAAAGUUGUUGCAGUUAAAAAGCUCGUAGUUGAAUUUCGGGAUCAAUACGUCGGUCGUGCUUUCGGGUACGUACUGGUGUCAUUGGUUUCUCCUUUCUGACGAGCCGUGAUGUCAUUAAUUUGGUGUUACGGGUAGUUAGGACUGUUACUUUGAAAAAAUUAGAGUGUUUAAAGCAGGCAUUAGCUUGAAUACAUUAGCAUGGAAUAAUGAAAUAGGACGUUCGAUCCUAUUUUGUUGGCUUCUAGGAUCAACGUAAUGAUUAAUAGGGAUAGUUGGGGGCAUUAGUAUUCAAUUGUCAGAGGUGAAAUUCUUGGAUUUAUUGAAGACUAACUACUGCGAAAGCAUUUGCCAAGGAUGUUUUCAUUAAUCAAGAACGAAAGUUAGGGGAUCGAAGACGAUCAGAUACCGUCGUAGUCUUAACCAUAAACUAUGCCGACUAGGGAUCGGAUGAUGUUAAUUUUUUCAAUGACUCAUUCGGCGCCU